AGAUUGAACGCUGGCGGCAUGCCUAACACAUGCAAGUCGAACGGGAGUAGCAAUACUCUAGUGGCGGACGGGUGAGGAAUACGUAGGAAUUUGCCCUUAAGUGGGGGAUAACCCGGGGAAACCCGGAUUAAUACCGCAUGACCUCGAAAGAGCAAAGUGGGGGAUCGCAAGACCUCACGCUUUUGGAGAAGCCUACGUCGGAUUAGCUAGUUGGUGAGGUAAUGGCUCACCAAGGCGACGAUCCGUAAACUGGUCUGAGAGGGAUGAUCAGUCACACCGGAACUGAGACACGGUCCCGGACUCC
RNAcentral lists this ribosomal RNA (304 nucleotides) under uncultured soil bacterium. Its description in RNAcentral is "bacterial SSU rRNA". It matches the Rfam family "Bacterial small subunit ribosomal RNA", at positions 26 to 339 of the family's 1533-position model. The record is from RNAcentral.